This 207-nucleotide ribosomal RNA is filed under the name uncultured bacterium. RNAcentral describes it as "partial 16S ribosomal RNA". It matches the Rfam family "Bacterial small subunit ribosomal RNA", at positions 568 to 774 of the family's 1533-position model. The record is from RNAcentral.
CGUGCAGGCGGGUUGGUAAGUCAGAUGUGAAAGCCCUGGGCUCAACCCAGGAAGUGCAUUUGAAACUGCCAUCCUUGAGUAUGGGAGAGGAGAGUGGAAUUCCCGAUGUAGAGGUGAAAUUCGUAGAUAUUGGGAGGAACACCCGUGGCGAAGGCGACUCUCUGGACCAAUACUGACGCUGAGACGCGAAAGCGUGGGGAGCAAACA